Molecule: ribosomal RNA, 460 nt
Filed under: uncultured bacterium
Lineage: Bacteria
Description: partial 16S ribosomal RNA
Rfam family: Bacterial small subunit ribosomal RNA
Source: RNAcentral
CCUACGGGGGGCAGCAGUGAGGAAUAUUGGUCACUGGGCGCUAGCCUGAACCAGCCAAGUAGCGUGAAGGAUGACUGCCCUACGGGUUGUAAACUUCUUUUAUAAAGGAAUAAAGUGAGGCACGUGUGCCUUUUUGUAUGUACUUUAUGAAUAAGGAUCGGCUAACUCCGUGCCAGCAGCCGCGGUAAUACGGAGGAUCCGAGCGUUAUCCGGAUUUAUUAGGUUUAAAGGGAGCGUAGAUGGGUUGUUAAGUCAGGUGUGAAAGUUUGCGGCUCAACCGUAAAAGUGCAAUUGAUACUGGCAGUCUUGAGUACAGUUGAGGGAUGCGGAAUUCGUGGUGUAGCGGUGAAAUGCUUAGAUAUCACGAAGAACUCCGAUUGCGAAGGCAGCUUACUAAACUGCCACUGACAUUGAUGCGCGAAAGUGUGGGUAGCAAACAGGAUUAGAUACCCUAGUAGUC